UAAUUUGGACCCUCUUACAUGAUACAUGAAGAUCGUCUCUCUUCUCAGUGCGACGGCGAAGCGUGACGUCUGAGAUUCCUUUCGCUGUCUGAAACGGUUCGACUAAUCAAAUCGAACUCUCAUCUUCUUCUUUUAUUUUCUCUUCUCUUCCCUCUAGAGUUUCAGGCAAUUUCUCUUCCGCCUCCCUCCGUCGCCUUAAGAGGAUGUUAGUUGGGUUCAGAACAUCAGAUAUUUUGGUUCUAGAUGUCUGGCAACAAAGAUGGAUGAUUGGGUAAUCAGCCCUCUUGGAGCGAGCAGUACGUGUACGAGACGCUCUUUGUGGUGUUAGCUGAGUUUGAAGAGCGAUGCAAGGAGCCGGAACGUGCUAGGUUUAUCUACAAUUUGCUCUUGAUCAUAUUCCUACAAGGAGAGCUUAGGAUUUGUAUAAAAAGUUUGUGGCGUUUGAGAAACAGUAUGGUGAUAAGGAAGGGAUUGAGGAUGCCAUUGCUGGGAAUAGGAGGUUUCAGUAUGAAGAUGAAGUGAGGAAGAACCCUUUGAACUAUGAUUCUUGGUUUGAUUACGUUAUGCUUGAAGAAACUGUGGGGAACAAAGAUAGGAUAAGAGAGAUCUAGGAGAGGGCUAUUGCUAAUAUUCCAGCUGUUGAAGAGAAAUGAUACUGGCAAACACACAUCUAUCUCUGGAUUAACUAUGCAUUGUAUGAAGAGAUUAAAACGGAAGAUGUGGAGCGUACACGAGAUGUAUACUGUUUGAAAUCCGGCAAUUGAAUCUCGCCGGUGCUCGGUAGAUAUGAGGAAACGCUAUUGGGAAAGCUCCAAAAACUAAGAUAUUCAAGAACUACAUUGAGAUUGAGCUCCAGCUGGGAAACAUAGAUAGAUGUAGAAAGCUUUAUGAGCUUUAUCUUGAGUGGUUUCCAGAGAAUUGCUAUGCUUGGAGCAAAUACGCUGAGCUAGAGAGGUCUCUUGCUGAGACUGAACUAGCUAGAACUAUCUUUGAGCUUGCAAUAUCUCAGCCAGCACUUGACAUGCCCUAACUGCUAUGAAGGCGUUCAUGAUAUCAAAAGGAGAAUCGGAAAGGACACGAGCUUUAUAUGAGCGACUAUUGGACCGCACAAAGCAUUACAAGGUAUGGCGGUGUGGGUUUGGUUUGCAAAGUGUGAAGCUUCUGCUGCGGAACAAGAAGAAGACGAGGAAGAGGAAGACCAAGAAAAAAUAGAUGCUAUUGAACUCAACAAAGAGUGCAUCAGACGUACAGAAAAAUGUAUCAAUGGAUCAGCUGCAAUCACCAAUUUAUAUUAAAAUGAACAGGGGGGGGGUGCUUGAUAUUUUUGUAAACGAUGGAGGCUCCAUCAUGGAGAAUCGGGGAUGGUCUCUCAAGUGGUAUAUGGAGCUACACAAUGUCUUUAUAAAUUAAUCCAACUCUCAGAACAGAUUUUUUUUUUCGAUCUCAACAAUUUUAUCAUGCAUUUUUCUCUGUUUUUCAAUAAAUUUUGAGAGCUCUGCAAAUCUGUCGAGAACACUUAGCAAUUGUAAAGGAGAUUCCUUUUAUUCAUAUUUGAUAUCGUGACAUC
Long non-coding RNA from Brassica napus (rape), 1567 nucleotides. RefSeq lists it as uncharacterized. The transcript is spliced from 8 exons. Lineage: Eukaryota; Viridiplantae; Streptophyta; Magnoliopsida; Brassicales; Brassicaceae. The record is from RefSeq and is a predicted model, not a curated record.